This 250-nucleotide unclassified non-coding RNA is filed under the name Hevea brasiliensis (rubber tree). Lineage: Eukaryota; Viridiplantae; Streptophyta; Magnoliopsida; Malpighiales; Euphorbiaceae. The record is from RNAcentral.
UGCAAACUACCAUUCAAGGAUAUGGGUGAUGAAACUAUUAUAGACGAAGAAAGGAGCCACGUGUUCAUUGGAUAAGGAACUACAUAACUUGGACCCAAAAUUCCAACCGCUGUGGUUAUGGCACUAGCCAACAGUAGUUUUCUCCAAUCAAUUCUAUUCCACACGCAAUGCCGUAAUAUUUCUCUCAUUAUCACAACAGCAAUGUGCCGGAAUAUUUGUAUCAUCUCAUCCUAUGCUAGAACAAUUUGUU